GAUCGAAGUACAAGCAUGAGAUGCGUGGCACAAUCUGAGCGGAUGAUGACGAUAGAUCAAGGUGUUGAUCAGGAUCGAAUCAAGGGUGCUCAGGAUCGAAUCAAGAAUUGAAGACGAGCUAACCAAUUGAUGUACAUGUGUUUAUAAUAUAGCCCAAACUAGUUUCAUGAUCAUCACCAGUUUAAUUAUUGCUUUUAUUUAUUGCUUUACCAAUAAUUGAUAUCUGCCUGCAAUGUGCUUUAUUUGUAUGAGAUACGAAUGUGAGCUGAGUGGGGUAGAU
Molecule: long non-coding RNA, 280 nt
Filed under: Phoenix dactylifera (date palm)
Lineage: Eukaryota; Viridiplantae; Streptophyta; Magnoliopsida; Arecales; Arecaceae
Description: long non-coding RNA (PDAC_LNC000730)
Source: RNAcentral